GUGGGUUAUCACUUGUGCCCAGGAAUUUGAGACCAGUCUAGGCAACAUAGUGAGACCUUGU
Molecule: microRNA precursor, 61 nt
Organism: Homo sapiens (human)
Lineage: Eukaryota; Metazoa; Chordata; Mammalia; Primates; Hominidae
Rfam family: mir-1285 microRNA precursor family
Source: Rfam